GAUGAACGUUAGCGGCAGGCCUAACACAUGCAAGUCGAGGGAGGAGCUUUCGGGCUUCGACCGGCGUACGGGUGCGUAACGCGUAUACAAUCUGCCUUUCACAUAGGGAUAGCCCGAAGAAAUUUGGAUUAAUACCUAAUGGUAUAUAGAGGUGGCAUCACCUUUAUAUUAAAGCUGAGGCGGUGAAAGAUGAGUAUGCGUUCUAUUAGCUAGUUGGAGAGGUAACGGCUCCCCAAGGCGACGAUAGAUAGGGGUUCUGAGAGGGAUAUCCCCCACACUGGUACUGAGAUACGGACCAGACUCCUACGGGAGGCAGCAGUGAGGAAUAUUGGACAAUGGUCGGAAGACUGAUCCAGCCAUGCCGCGUGCAGGAAGACGGCCUUAUGGGUUGUAAACUGCUUUUGCAGGGGAAGAAUAAGGACUACGCGUAGUUUGAUGACGGUACUCUGCGAAUAAGCAUCGGCUAACUCCGUG
Molecule: ribosomal RNA, 474 nt
Filed under: uncultured bacterium
Lineage: Bacteria
Description: partial 16S ribosomal RNA
Rfam family: Bacterial small subunit ribosomal RNA
Source: RNAcentral